RNAcentral lists this RNase P RNA (332 nucleotides) under Caldimonas brevitalea. RNAcentral's name for it is "[Polyangium] brachysporum Bacterial RNase P class A". It matches the Rfam family "Bacterial RNase P class A". From Rfam's summary of the family: Ribonuclease P (RNase P) is a ubiquitous endoribonuclease, found in archaea, bacteria and eukarya as well as chloroplasts and mitochondria. Its best characterised activity is the generation of mature 5'-ends of tRNAs by cleaving the 5'-leader elements of precursor-tRNAs. Lineage: Bacteria; Pseudomonadati; Pseudomonadota; Betaproteobacteria; Burkholderiales; Sphaerotilaceae. The record is from Rfam by way of RNAcentral.
GAAGCAAGCCAGACCGCCGCUGGCGCAAGAGCCGAAAGGCUGCGCUGGAGGAAGGUCCGGACUGCACAGGGCAGCGUAGCAGGUAACACCUGUCCGCCGUGAGGCGAGGAUCAGAGCAACAGAGACGAGUCGGUCCUGGGGGCAACUCCAGAGGCCGGGUGAAACGGGCAAUCUCUACGCGCAGCAACACCAAAUAGGCACACGUCGAUCCGGCCCGGGGAGUGUGCGGGUAGGUGGCAUCGAGCCGCAUCCGCGAGGGGCGGCCCAGAGGAAUGGCGGUCACGUCGGGGCGACCCGAUGCACAGAAUCCGGCCUAUCGGUUUGCUUCACUC